RNA transcript from Vombatus ursinus (common wombat), 4193 nucleotides. It is a transcript of the gene named tripartite motif containing 16, with no coding region annotated. The transcript has 7 exons. NCBI's taxonomy places the organism in Eukaryota, Metazoa, Chordata, Mammalia, Diprotodontia, Vombatidae. The record is from RefSeq and is a predicted model, not a curated record.
CCUUCACUGAUAUGAGGUAGAGGGAGAUUUCUGUAUUGAGACCCUCUCAAAUGGCUGAAUUAGACACAGUACCUCCAGAAGUUCAUUCCACUCCUCAGACGCCAGCAUUGCGCAAUACUGAUAUUAAGACAGAAAGCCACGAAGAGGAAGGGGAAAAUGAGAACACACGCAGUUGUGGAAGUGAGCCUAGAGGAAGACUGGAGGAGACAGUGACUGAAUCUAAAAGGGAAGGAAGGAUUCCAGAGCAGGGGGCGCCCAGUAGUGGGGAGAAUGAGAUCACGUGUGACUUCUGCCUUGAGGGAAAAGUGAGGGCCGUGAAGUCCUGCUUGACCUGUAUGGUGAAUUAUUGUGAGGAUCAUGUUCGGCCCCAUCAGGAGAACAGCAAGCUCUAUAGUCACCAGCUGACCAAGCCAGUAAGGGAUACAGACCCACGUAAGUGCUCAGCUCACCAGCGCCAACUUACUUGGUUUUGCUGCUUGGAGCAGCAAUGCAUCUGUGAAGAAUGUACCCAGGAAGACCACAGGGGCCACCCUACUCUCUCCCUAGAGGCAGUCAGGAGGGAAAAGCAGGCUGAACUUCAGCAGAUCCAGCUGGACUUGGACAGAAAAAUCAAAGCAACUGAAAAUGUCAUUGCCAGACUACAAGCUAACAACAAAUCAAUUUUGGUAUCAGUCUCUGAGAUGAAAGCUGUGGCAGAAGAGCAAUUUGGGGAGCUUCAUGUAGCAGUCAGGAAGGCCCAGGAAGAUGUACUUCUGUUUCUAGAAAAGAAGGAACAGGUUGCCCUGAGUCAGGCCAGUGGCAUCAAGAAACACCUGGAAAGCAAGUAUGCAGAACUGGAAAACAGCAGGCAUGUGCUGGAAAGGAUGGCCAACAUCACCAAUAAUGUCCUUUUCUUGGAGGAAUACUGUAAGUUUAAGAAGAAUAUUGAGGAUAGUCCUUUCCCCAGUGUUCAUACCGGAUUAAAGGAAAAACUUUCUGGUAUACAAAAGGUGAUCAUGGACUGCACAGAACAUUUAAUCCAGCUUCUGCAGAACUACAAGGAAAAGCUAGAAGAGUUUGCCAAGGAAGAAGAGUAUGAGAUAAAUACUGAAAUGUCUGCAGUUGUGCCCCACAAUUACCGGACUUCAAUACCUGAACCUAGCUGCAGAGUUGAUUUUCUCAAAUAUGCCUACCCCAUCACGUUUGAUCCUGACACAGCUCAUAGGUAUCUCAGGCUUCAGGAGGACAACCACAAAGUCACGAAUACCUCUCCCUGGCAACACCCAUACCCAGACCAUCCUAGCAGAUUUGAGCACUGGAGACAAGUGCUCUCCAAGCAGAGUCUGUACUUAAACCAAUAUUAUUUUGAACUGGAGAUCAAAGGAGAAGGUGUUUAUAUUGGCGUGACUAAUAAGAACAUAGACCCAAAGGGCUCAGAGAGUAAUAGUUGUAUCUCAGGGAAUAGCUUUUCUUGGAGUAUCCACUGGAACGGAAAGGAGUUUAGUGCCUGGCACAGUGGCUCUGAGACUGCACUGGGGGUUGGUCAAUUCCAGAGGCUUGGGAUCUACUUGAACUAUGUACGGAACAUUCUCUCCUUCUAUGGGAUUGAGUUUGAUACUAUGGUUCUGAUUCAUAGGUUUAACUGUGAUUUUGCUGAGCCAGUCUACCCUGCAUUCUGGCUUUCAAAGAAAGAUAGUUCAAUCCAGAUCAUAGAAUUGAGUGAAAAAGCAGAGAUCUUACAUUCUUUACCAAUAGUUUCUCCAACUUCCUCAGCAGAAGCUACUUCAUAGAAUCUAAGGGUCCAAGUCAAAUUCCUCUACCAAACAGACUUCAGACAGUGACUUACACUUCAAAAAUUAUUAUGGGACAAAUGUUGUUGGGGUUGUCCAACAUUAGAAAUCCUGGAAAUCAGAGAAGAAAAAAAGGAAUAUUGGUCUGUUCUACCCUAUUCCAUGCUGUGUUGUUCUAUACAGCAUAUUCUAAGACAUUUUUCUUAAUUCCCCUUUUGGCAUUCUAAAAUAGUAUUUCCUGAGGGCUCAGUAAUAUUGUGCUAGGUGCUCUGAAUGGUUACUAAAAAUAUAUUAGAUUUUGACCUCCAGAAGUCAAUACUUGCUAAAAUAGUUCAUAUAAUAUAAUUGAUAUGCCUAAUAUAUUAUUCUAGACUCUGAAAGGGACCAUAAAAGUUUUACAUUAUACAGAAAUCCUCCCUAUAGGAUCUAUGACAGAGAUUUGCUAUCUCACAAGAUAGACCUUGGUCAUUGGACAGCUUUGGUUGCUAGAAAGUUCUUCCUUAUGUUGAGCCAAAAAUCUACCUCCCUGUUAACAGAAGUGGAAACCCAUAGACUGCAUGGAGCACGAAAAAUUCUUCCACCAGAAAGCCUUUGAGACCUCUGGAAAGGUUAUAGUCAAGUGUACUUUCUCUGAGACACUCCAGCAAAACUGAAAAAGAAAAAAUGCUGGGAAGAUCCUUCUUACAUCCAGGACUGCACAAGCAAUCAGUCAGGAGACUGUGGGUAUAUUGAUAAGGGGGCUCUUCAGUGAAGUCUGAAGCCAGUGUGAUAAUAUUAUUGAUAAAUCCUCUGUUGAAGUCAAUGAGAUCUGGGAUUCUGACUUAUCCACGUCAUAGCAGGAGACAAAGUCAACUUCCAGUAGCUGACUAGCCAAGGAUAUGGAAAUGGGACAGAGGCACCCAGGCAAUGGAAGACAUGGGGCCCUCACAGUACCCUGAAGCAGCAAGAUUUCUGAUAUAUAGACUCAAACCAGCGAACAAAGUUAAUCCCAGUGGGUAACAGUAGAGAAUGGAGGUGGAGAUAAGGUUGAAGGCAGUGUACUCAUGGAACGUCUAGGAAGUCGAGGCAGAGCACAGGGAAAGGGAUUGAGGCAGAAGGCAGCCUUGUCAGCUCCUAAGCAAGCUUUCUACCUCAGGCCAGAAAAAAGCAGGAGGUACCAGGACUCAGCCAUUUUAUCAAGAAUUGUAGCAGGAUAGUGGCAGCAUCAUCCAGAACGCACCAGAGAUAGGAUCAAGACCCAUACCUCUCAUCCAAGAGUGUAGGAUGGGGCAGAGCCUGGCACUGGCACAAAAUUCUUAUUCAGGAACUUGGACUUUGUUUACCAGCUUCAUUUCAUCUAAUAAAUUUUUUAUUUGUGCUAUGUAUUUAUUCUAAAUCUUUAGUAAAAAGAAAUAUGUCAUGUCCAAGUAUAGAGCCUUGUGAUAUGGUAUAGUAAAAUUCCUUCUAGAAGCUGUUUCGGUGGUCACCUCCUUCUGAGUAACCAGCACCCAGAUACAAGAGCUCCUGAUUUCUCAAACACACAAGGCUGACGCCAAGGCUAGUAAUCACCAUCUCAGAUCCCUGGGCUCUGGGAAAGAAACAGAGCAGAAGCAGCAGCCAGAUUUACAUGUAAUGAUGCUAAAUGAAGUGAGCGAAGAACAUUGUACACCGCAAUAGCAAUAUUACACGAUGAAGAACUGUGAAUGACUUACAUCAUCAUAUAUGUGAGCUGGUCAUGUAACAAUAAUGAAAGAUAAUUGAUGGAUAGCUUAGGUGACCACAAAAUGUUAAAUUUGUCUACAAAAUAUUAAAAUAUCUAGAGGAAAGCUUUAAGUACAUUGGGCGGAUUGUCUAUGGAGGAUUUAUGGGAUGGUAUAGAGAAGAAGACUUGCAUGGAUUAAUUGUAUGAGAUGGUAGGGACCUUGGAAGUAUCUUACAGGACAGACAUGGAAGUAUUUUACAAGACAGAAUCCUCCUACACAGGAAAUUUUCAGCUUCUAACUCUCUGCCAAGUAUUAUAUGAAAUUUAAAAGCAAGAAGAGCAAGGUUUAUACAUUGCACACUUUGUAGAUGGUUCCCUGGCCUAGUAAGUAGACUGCAUUAGCAAGAGAGCUCUUUAUAAAUAAUUUAUCAAAGAACUUUUUUUUUUUUACAGAUCAUUACAUUUUGAACAACAUUUAAGCCAAAACCACAACAAGGGUUUUAAAAUGAACAAUUUAUAUUGCUUCAUCAUACUGAAAAAAGCAGUUAUAGCACAAUUGUUAAAUUGGCUAUUAAGCACAUUGACCAAACACCAUAUUUUAAUGACACUUAUUUAGCAAUAUGAAAGCUCAACAGAAGGAGAGGCAAUUUUGCUUAAAGCUGAAAAUGUUUAUUUCAUUCCUUUUUGGCCGAAAUGUGUAUCAUAGGUCUCUGAUUUUUUAUUGGUAUGCUUGCCUUCAAUAA